UUGCCUACGGGAGGCAGCAGUGGGGAAUAUUGGACAAUGGGCGCAAGCCUGAUCCAGCCAUGCCGCGUGUGUGAAGAAGGCCUUCGGGUUGUAAAGCACUUUUGUUGGGGAAGAAAACCUGUUGGUUAAUACCCGGCGGGAAUGACGGUACCCAAAGAAUAAGCACCGGCUAACUUCGUGCCAGCAGCCGCGGUAAUACGAAGGGUGCAAGCGUUACUCGGAAUUACUGGGCGUAAAGCGUGCGUAGGUGGUUCGGUAAGUCUGCCGUGAAAGCCCCGGGCUCAACCUGGGAAUGGCGGUGGAUACUGGCGGACUAGAGUGCGGUAGAGGGUGGUGGAAUUCCCGGUGUAGCAGUGAAAUGCGUAGAGAUCGGGAGGAACAUCUGUGGCGAAGGCGGCCACCUGGACCAGCACUGACACUGAGGCACGAAAGCGUGGGGAGCAAACAGGAUUAGAUACCCGAGUAGUC
This 468-nucleotide ribosomal RNA is filed under the name uncultured bacterium. Its description in RNAcentral is "bacterial SSU rRNA". It matches the Rfam family "Bacterial small subunit ribosomal RNA", at positions 335 to 795 of the family's 1533-position model. The record is from RNAcentral.